Molecule: non-coding RNA, 680 nt
Organism: Schizosaccharomyces pombe (fission yeast)
Lineage: Eukaryota; Fungi; Ascomycota; Schizosaccharomycetes; Schizosaccharomycetales; Schizosaccharomycetaceae
Source: the annotation of a GenBank genome assembly
AUCGAGGCUUAAGGAACUCAUAAAAGCUGCUUAAUGCAUGUUUCCGUAAAUUAAUAAUAGUACUAGAAGUAAGAAAGUGAAUGAUUUUGUGGGUAUGUGUAUUUUUAAUUUUGCAAAAAUAUUCGUUUAUCCCUAAAGUAGUACAGUAGCCGAAAGAAUCCUUUAUAACGUCCAUGCAUUUGUGCACAAAUACAACAAAAUUAGAAGUUUGUCAAAUUGCUGUUGGUCAUUUUCAAAUAGCAAAUAGCAAGGCGCUGAAAUGUUAAGGUUGCUAUUUUCUGACAUAUAACGAAAAUCGGCUGUACUAAAGAGUAACGUGGGUUGGCGAUGGACAUUCUUUGCUGAAGAAGCAAACAUUGUUCAUAAAAAGUAGACUGAUAUUCUAUUAUGCUAUAAAAUGAAUCGGCUCUUUUGUGUAAUUAAUUAAAUUUUCCAUAUUCGGUAAUACUACUAAACAUUAGUAUACACAAUACCAAAAUCAAUCAAAUCAUACAUAGCAUGGAUCGUUUGUUUAACAUUGAAAAAUUCCUUUACGCAGUGCGGAAUCUUCAGUUGUUAGAUUGAAUAUAAAGUUUUAGAACAUAUGACUCUUUUAACCAGAUUAAAUUUAAGCUUGACAUGAAAGUACCUUUAUUAAAGUAGCCCCCUGUUAGCAAAUACCAUGAUCAUCCAAGAAGGUA